This 531-nucleotide ribosomal RNA is filed under the name Lentzea albida. RNAcentral describes it as "bacterial SSU rRNA". It matches the Rfam family "Bacterial small subunit ribosomal RNA", at positions 1 to 547 of the family's 1533-position model. The record is from RNAcentral. Lineage: Bacteria; Bacillati; Actinomycetota; Actinomycetes; Pseudonocardiales; Pseudonocardiaceae.
CCUUAUUGGAGAGUUUGAUCCUGGCUCAGGACGAACGCUGGCGGCGUGCUUAACACAUGCAAGUCGAGCGGUAAGGCCCUUCGGGGUACACGAGCGGCGAACGGGUGAGUAACACGUGGGUAACCUGCCCUGUACUCUGGGAUAAGCCUUGGAAACGAGGUCUAAUACCGGAUACGACCACUGAAUGCAUGUUCGGUGGUGGAAAGUUCCGGCGGUAUGGGAUGGACCCGCGGCCUAUCAGCUUGUUGGUGGGGUAAUGGCCUACCAAGGCGACGACGGGUAGCCGGCCUGAGAGGGUGACCGGCCACACUGGGACUGAGACACGGCCCAGACUCCUACGGGAGGCAGCAGUGGGGAAUAUUGCACAAUGGGCGAAAGCCUGAUGCAGCGACGCCGCGUGAGGGAUGACGGCCUUCGGGUUGUAAACCUCUUUCAGCAGGGACGAAGCGCAAGUGACGGUACCUGCAGAAGAAGCACCGGCUAACUACGUGCCAGCAGCCGCGGUAAUACGUAGGGUGCGAGCGUUGUCCG